Molecule: transfer RNA, 84 nt
Filed under: Deltaproteobacteria bacterium
Lineage: Bacteria; Pseudomonadati; Myxococcota; Myxococcia
Description: tRNA-Leu
Rfam family: tRNA
About the family: Transfer RNA (tRNA) molecules are approximately 80 nucleotides in length. Their secondary structure includes four short double-helical elements and three loops (D, anti-codon, and T loops).
Source: RNAcentral
GCCCGGGUGGUGGAAUGGUAGACACAGGGGACUUAAAAUCCCUUGCCCGUAACGGGCGUGUGGGUUCGACUCCCACUCUGGGCA